This 87-nucleotide unclassified non-coding RNA is filed under the name Pseudomonas orientalis. The record is from RNAcentral. Lineage: Bacteria; Pseudomonadati; Pseudomonadota; Gammaproteobacteria; Pseudomonadales; Pseudomonadaceae.
GUGGGAGGGGGCUUGCUCCCGAUGACGGAGUGUCAGUCAACACUUAGGUGACUGGUCCACCGCUAUCGGGGGCAAGCCCCCUCCCAC